This 255-nucleotide ribosomal RNA is filed under the name uncultured bacterium. RNAcentral describes it as "partial 16S ribosomal RNA". It matches the Rfam family "Bacterial small subunit ribosomal RNA", at positions 334 to 585 of the family's 1533-position model. The record is from RNAcentral.
CCUUCCUACGGGGCGCAGCAGUGAGGAAUAUUGGUCAAUGGGCUUACGCCUGAACCAGCCAAGUCGCGUGAGGGAAGACUGCCCUAUGGGUUGUAAACCUCUUUUGUCAGGGAGCAAUGGCGUCCACGUGUGGGCGUAUGGAGAGUACCUGAAGAAAAAGCAUCGGCUAACUCCGUGCCAGCAGCCGCGGUAAUACGGAGGAUGCGAGCGUUAUCCGGAUUUAUUGGGUUUAAAGGGUGCGUAGGCGGUACCUUA